CGAUUGACUUUGCCAGAGCAAUGACACCAUGCACCAAAACAGACAAAUACCCCGAGGAAUGUACAAACAGUGGUUGUGCUACCGUAGACGGGAGCCAUUGCAAGUGGCCAAAUGUGUGAGCUGUAAGAAAACUGCGGUACAGAAUCUCGCAAUUGGACCUGUUCAAAAAGAAACGAAAGAUGCAUCAAAAUCCGCUGCCAGAGGCAGAUUUGAGACCUCGCCAAAAGAGCUCGUGAGACAUUUUUACAUAUAUUGGCAUGAAAAACGAACAAAAGUGAGACUGAUUGUGAGACAUAUGAAACAGCUGAGACACUGGCGGAGAGGUAUCUUUAUCCGGCUUUUAACUGGCGGAGAGAUAUCAAAUCGGCAAGAUCAAACGAACAAGUGAACUACAGGUACGGAGUGAACGAUUGAAACGAAUGGGGAAAACCGAAAGGGCAAAGGGGCUAUCAUUCCCUCGCGGCUCAUUUUAGUCCUCAUCUACUUGUAACUACUCGCUAAACAUUAUAGCCGAGGGGUUCCUCACAUACAAGUGUGCUGUACAUACUGAUCGGUACUUAUGUCAUUGAGUCAAGUGGCAGCUUGGCUGUCAUGAAGAUGUAUCGUACACUGUUCCAGAGCCUAACAAUUGAUAUAUAUCGGCUUGGAUCAGAAUAUUACGACUUCGUGUCCUCGAGUCGUGAGCUCCAUCCCAACAGUAAUCUCUCCCGUAGCUGUCAGUGAAGAAUAAUUACUCAUAGAGGAUCAACCGACAUGUCCACACCAUCAUGACUAUCAAUGACUAUCAAUGAAGCUGAUAACC
This 802-nucleotide unclassified non-coding RNA is filed under the name Yarrowia lipolytica. Lineage: Eukaryota; Fungi; Ascomycota; Dipodascomycetes; Dipodascales. The record is from RNAcentral.